Molecule: ribosomal RNA, 908 nt
Filed under: uncultured bacterium
Lineage: Bacteria
Description: bacterial SSU rRNA
Rfam family: Bacterial small subunit ribosomal RNA
Source: RNAcentral
ACGCUGGCGGCGUGCCUAAUACAUGCAAGUCGAACGAGAGCGACCGGUGCUUGCACUGGUCAAUCUAGUGGCGAACGGGUGAGUAACACGUGGGUAACCUGCCCAUCAGAGGGGGAUAACAUUCGGAAACGGAUGCUAAAACCGCAUAGGUCUUCGAACCGCAUGGUUUGAAGAGGAAAAGAGGCGCAAGCUUCUGCUGAUGGAUGGACCCGCGGUGCAUUAGCUAGUUGGUGAGGUAACGGCUCACCAAGGCCGUGAUGCAUAGCCGACCUGAGAGGGUGAUCGGCCACAUUGGGACUGAGACACGGCCCAAACUCCUACGGGAGGCAGCAGUAGGGAAUCUUCCGCAAUGGACGCAAGUCUGACGGAGCAACGCCGCGUGAGUGAAGAAGGUUUUCGGAUCGUAAAACUCUGUUGUUAGAGAAGAACAAGUGCUAGAGUAACUGUUAGCGCCUUGACGGUAUCUAACCAGAAAGCCACGGCUAACUACGUGCCAGCAGCCGCGGUAAUACGUAGGUGGCAAGCGUUGUCCGGAUUUAUUGGGCGUAAAGCGAGCGCAGGCGGUUCCUUAAGUCUGAUGUGAAAGCCCCCGGCUCAACCGGGGAGGGUCAUUGGAAACUGGGGAACUUGAGUGCAGAAGAGGAGAGUGGAAUUCCAUGUGCAGCGGUGAAAUGCGUAGAUAUAUGGAGGAACACCAGUGGCGAAGGCGACUCUCUGGUCUGUAACUGACGCUGAGGCUCGAAAGCGUGGGUAGCAAACAGGAUUAGAUACCCUGGUAGUCCACGCCGUAAACGAUGAGUGCUAAGUGUUGGAGGGUUUCCGCCCUUCAGUGCUGCAGUUAACGCAUUAAGCACUCCGCCUGGGGAGUACGACCGCAAGGUUGAAACUCAAAGGAAUUGACGGGGACC